This 23-nucleotide non-coding RNA is filed under the name Arabidopsis thaliana (thale cress). The record is from RNAcentral. Lineage: Eukaryota; Viridiplantae; Streptophyta; Magnoliopsida; Brassicales; Brassicaceae.
UCGGGGGUCCCAGUUCCGAACCC